CCCUUAGAUGUUCUGGGCUGCACGCGCGCUACACUGAUGCGAUCAACAAGUUUUUCCUAUGUCGAUAGACACGGGCAAUCUUUUGAACUCGCAUCGUGAUGGGGAUAGAUUAUUGUAAUUAUUAAUCUUCAACGAGGAAUUCCUAGUAGGUGCAAAUCAUCAGUUUGCAUCGAUUACGUCCCUGCCCUUUGUACACACCGCCCGUCGCUGCUACCGAUUGGUUGAUCUGGUGAAUUAUUCGGACUGCCGGCUGAAGGGGUUUCCUCAUCUGCCAGCGGAAAGUCUUGUUAACCCUAUCAACUAGAGGAAGCAGAAGUCGUAACA
RNAcentral lists this ribosomal RNA (324 nucleotides) under uncultured eukaryote. RNAcentral's name for it is "partial 18S ribosomal RNA". It matches the Rfam family "Eukaryotic small subunit ribosomal RNA", at positions 1470 to 1796 of the family's 1831-position model. The record is from RNAcentral.